Molecule: RNA transcript, 2707 nt
Organism: Conger conger (European conger)
Lineage: Eukaryota; Metazoa; Chordata; Actinopteri; Anguilliformes; Congridae
Gene name: tropomodulin-1-like
Exons: 12
Source: RefSeq, a predicted model, not a curated record
GUGAGGAGGAGUAAUUUGGAAGCUACAUCUGUUUUCUGAACCUCCUUGACAGUGCGGGAGAAAACAAGAGUUUCGUUGGAAUUUGACACCUAAUUUCCAUGGAAGUAACUGUUUAGAGAUUUUAUCUUUACGGUGACUGGUAGCUAAUAUCCAACUUUGAGGUGUUCUUCUGGAAGACUCUGCGGAGCAUAGCUUUCUGUUGUUUUCCAUCCAUCCUUCCCCCACCCCCCCCCCCAUCCUGUCAUGUCCUUUAAAGAGCAUCUCGAGAAGUACCGGGACGUGGACGAAGACGAGCUUUUGAAACAGCUCUCGGACGAAGAGCUGAGGAAACUGGAGGAUGAACUGGAUGAGCUGGAUCAGGAUGACCCUCACCUGCCAGCAGGGCUGAGGCAGAAGGACCAGACGAAGAAGCCACCCACCGGAACCUUCCAGAGGGACACCCUGCUGGCACACCUGGAGAAGCAGGCCAAGGAGGACCCGGACAAGCCAGACCCAGUGCCCUACACUGGUCAGAAGAAAGGGAAGGCCUGGGUGCCCCAGCAGACGAUGGUGACCUCGGUCAGGGAGAAGGUGACCCUGGAGCCUGAGUUGGAGGAGGCGCUGGCCGUGGCUAAUGAUGCUGAGCUGUGUGACUUCGCUGCCAUUCUGGGCAUGCAUACACUGAUGAGUUCACAGCAGUACUAUGACGCCUUAUCCAGCAGCACCAUCGUCAGCAAGCAGGGUUUGAACAGUGUUAUUCAGUGCGCUCAAUAUAAGCCAGUUCCUGACGAGCAGCCGAACUCCACAGACAUAGAGAACACUCUGCAGAGAAUCAGGAGGAACGACCCUGACCUGCUGGAGGUCAAUCUCAACAACAUCCAGAACAUUCCUGUGCAUACCCUCAGAGAGUACGCAGAGGCCCUGAAACACAACACCACGGUGCAACUGCUGAGCAUUGUGGGAACCAGGAGCACCGACCUUGUGGCUUUUACGCUGGCAGACAUGCUGAGGGUGAACAGCACGUUGAAGAGCCUGAAUGUGGAGUCCAACUUCAUCACAGGGGCUGGGAUACUUGCGCUCAUGGAGUCACUGCAGUUUAACAAGACCCUGCUGGAACUCAAGAUCGACAACCAGAGCCAGGCCUUGGGGAACAGGGUGGAGAUGCAGAUGGCCUAUAUGCUGGAGCAGAACUCCACCCUGCUGAGGUUUGGCUACAACUUCACCCAGCAGGGCCCGAGAAUGCGCUGCUCCAACGCUGUAAUGAACAACAAUGAUUUGGCUCGGAUGGUUCGUUCAAAUAGAGACGGUUCUGUCACGCUCACCUUGUCUGUGCCCGAACUGGAGAAGGCCUUUAAAAAGAAGUUCAAGUUCAGAUCCAAGUAAACCUCCUUCAACACUGGCUGAUACACACCAUGGCCCUGUUUCACAAAGCAGGAUUACCAAGUCAGCUGGAUAACUGUAUGAGUAAAACCCAGAACCCUCCCAAAUCUGGAACAUGGACUGUAGUAAAAACCUUAAGUGCAGUUACCCAGCUAAUUUAGUAAUCCUUCUCCAGUUCUCAGCGCAAAGGACAAAGCAUGAUGGGACGUCCGUCCUCCCCAAGCGCCGGGUGGGCAUGGAGUCCCCACCCAUUUUCUUCGGGACACACCCAAAAAAACUCCCCAUCUUUCUCCCUACGACUGAAGUCAUUCUUCUGUGGAGAGUACCCAUUCUGCCUCAACCUGACCCCACCCUGCCCUGUCAAAUUCCUGAAGUGUUCCUACAGUGGGAACCUGGCCACAGCCAAUGACAAUAAACCAGGAAGAGGGAGGAGCCAAUCCAACAGAAUCUCAGUAUGCACUUGAACUGUGUGCGCAGAUUAUUUCAAACACUGUGUGUGUUUUUAUCCAUUUCUGACCCUUUGAAUCGGGUUUAAUACAAUAUGGACCAUGUCAUCCAAUCACCACUGCAAACUGGACUCACUUGAUUCAGUCAAAGGAUGGGGCUGGAAUUUUAAGGUGUGUAAUUUUGUGCACAGAAUAUUGUGAAUACCUGUAUAUGGCACAGAAAGGAUCAGAAAUCUUGUAACGAUGACUGUUCUUCUUUGAUCUAAUUUAUAUAGAAGAGCAUUUUUUACGAUAUAUAUUUUAGCUUUUUUUUUUUUUAUCUUGAGCCUCCUCUACCUGAUUAGCACUGAACCUGACAUCACCACUAAGCAUUUUACCCACUGCCAUAUAAAUGCAUGCACUGGUUUGCUGUGUAAUUUACUACUGGGUCUGAUCUAUUGAAAUUCAGUCAUACUGCUAGUACUGACACCAUCAUUUGGGCAAGUUUUUAGUCGUCCAUCAGCUGUUGAAAUAAAAUGAUCAUGUGGCUUGCUGGUUCAUGUUCAACAGCGACAACACAGACACAGGAAACUGCCAUCAUGAAGCAGUAACUAAGCAGUAAAGUAUCUCUAACUUCAGUAUGUUGUGUACUGGACUUGAGGAAUGUGCACAGUCCAGAAACGACACUAUGGUGUGAAGCAGUUCCACUCCUGCUAGGAAAUUGAAAUAGAAGGCUGGCUUUUAACUGUGUGGGAGGGGCCAAACCACAUCUGCCAAUACCAGUUCAAGACAUCACAUGGCUUGAUUUACUUAUCCAUAGGAAUCACCACUCAGUUCAAUAGCUUAACCUGCAUGUUAGUCAUGUUAACUUUUAAGCAGAACAGAGCAACACUGUCAUUAUAAAGCAUGCAUUGAAAUAUGUU